GACAGAGGGGGCAAGCGUUGCUCGGAAUUACUGGGCGUAAAGGGCGCGUAGGCGGGAUGGCAAGUCGGUCGUGAAAUCCCUCGGCUCAACCGAGGAACGUCGAUCGAUACUGCUGUUCUUGAGGAUUGCAGAGGAGACUGGAAUUCCCGGUGUAGCGGUGAGAUGUGUAGAGAUCGGGAGGAACACCGGUGGCGAAGGCGGGUCUCUGGGCAAUUCCUGACGCUGAGGCGCGAAAGCGUGGGGAGCAAACGGG
This 253-nucleotide ribosomal RNA is filed under the name uncultured bacterium. RNAcentral's name for it is "partial 16S ribosomal RNA". It matches the Rfam family "Bacterial small subunit ribosomal RNA", at positions 524 to 776 of the family's 1533-position model. The record is from RNAcentral.